Molecule: ribosomal RNA, 492 nt
Filed under: uncultured bacterium
Lineage: Bacteria
Description: partial 16S ribosomal RNA
Rfam family: Bacterial small subunit ribosomal RNA
Source: RNAcentral
AGUGAACGCUGGCGGUAGGCCUAACACAUGCAAGUCGAACGGCAGCACAGUAAGAGCUUGCUCUUACGGGUGGCGAGUGGCGGACGGGUGAGGAAUACAUCGGAAUCUACUUUUUCGUGGGGGAUAACGUAGGGAAACUUACGCUAAUACCGCAUACGACCUACGGGUGAAAGCAGGGGAUCUUCGGACCUUGCGCGAUUGAAUGAGCCGAUGUCGGAUUAGCUAGUUGGCGGGGUAAAGGCCCACCAAGGCGACGAUCCGUAGCUGGUCUGAGAGGAUGAUCAGCCACACUGGAACUGAGAAACGGUCCAGACACCUACGGGAGGAAGCAGUGGGGAAUAUUAGACAAGGGGCGAAAGGCUGAUCCAGCCAUACCGCGUGGGUGAAGAAGGACUUCGGGUUGGAAAGCCCUUUUGUUGGGAAAGAAAAGCAGCAGGUUAACACCCCGCUGUUAUGUCGGUACCCAAAGAAUAAGCACCGGCUAACUUCGUG